GGGCGAGUGGCGAAAAGGCAUACGCACAACACUUAAAAUGUUGCGGUCUCAAAGACCAUGUGGGUUCGAUUCCCACCUCGCCCACCA
This 87-nucleotide transfer RNA is filed under the name Elusimicrobia bacterium HGW-Elusimicrobia-1. Its description in RNAcentral is "tRNA-Leu". It matches the Rfam family "tRNA". From Rfam's summary of the family: Transfer RNA (tRNA) molecules are approximately 80 nucleotides in length. The record is from RNAcentral. Lineage: Bacteria; Pseudomonadati; Elusimicrobiota.